AAGAGACAGCAGUCGCCGCGGGAAAACCAGCACCUCGAGUGGUCAGGAGGUUUAUUGGGCCUAAAGCAUCCGUAGCCGGUUGCAUAAGUUUUCGGUUAAAUCUAUGCGCUUAACGUAUAGGCCGCCGAAAAUACUGUGCAGCUAGGGAGUGGGAGAGGUACACGGUACUCGAUAGGAAGGGGUAAAAUCCUUUGAUCUAUUGAUGACCACCUGUGGCGAAGGCGGUGUACCAGAACACGUUCGACGGUGAGGGAUGAAAGCUGGGGGAGCAAACCGGAUUAGAUACCCGAGUAGUCCCUGUCUCUUAUAA
This 310-nucleotide ribosomal RNA is filed under the name uncultured bacterium. RNAcentral describes it as "partial 16S ribosomal RNA". It matches the Rfam family "Archaeal small subunit ribosomal RNA", at positions 448 to 760 of the family's 1478-position model. The record is from RNAcentral.